UGCUGAGUUAAUCUCAUGAGUGCU
RNAcentral lists this non-coding RNA (24 nucleotides) under Mus musculus (house mouse). The record is from RNAcentral. Lineage: Eukaryota; Metazoa; Chordata; Mammalia; Rodentia; Muridae.